GAUGAACGCUAGCUACAGGCUUAACACAUGCAAGUCGAGGGGAAACGGCAUUAAGUGCUUGCACUUUUUGGACGUCGACCGGCGCACGGGUGAGUAACGCGUAUCCAACCUUCCCAUGACUAAGGGAUAACCUGCCGAAAGGCAGACUAAUACCUUAUGGUCUUCACUGACGGCAUCAGAUGUGAAGUAAAGAUUUAUCGGUUAUGGAUGGGGAUGCGUCUGAUUAGCUUGUUGGCGGGGUACCGGCCCACCAAGGCAACGAUCAGUAGGGGUUCUGAGAGGAAUGCCCCCCACAGUGAACUUGAAACACCGCCCAUACUCCAAUGGGAGGACUAUUAAGAAAUAUUGAUCAAGGGGGGGAGUUCCUCCCCCCCCCUCUUGGUGUGGGGGAGGACGGCCCCUCGGCGUUGUAUACUCCUUUUUUGAUGGCUCUAAUAAAUUUUGUGUUUGUUUCUGUGCAAAGUA
RNAcentral lists this ribosomal RNA (465 nucleotides) under Peptostreptococcus anaerobius. RNAcentral describes it as "partial 16S ribosomal RNA". It matches the Rfam family "Bacterial small subunit ribosomal RNA", at positions 28 to 480 of the family's 1533-position model. Lineage: Bacteria; Bacillati; Bacillota; Clostridia; Peptostreptococcales; Peptostreptococcaceae. The record is from RNAcentral.